RNAcentral lists this ribosomal RNA (279 nucleotides) under uncultured bacterium. RNAcentral describes it as "partial 16S ribosomal RNA". It matches the Rfam family "Bacterial small subunit ribosomal RNA", at positions 506 to 784 of the family's 1533-position model. The record is from RNAcentral.
UGCCAGCCGCCGCGGUAAUACGGAGGGUUCAAGCGUUAUCCGGAUUCAUUGGGUUUAAAGGGUACGUAGGCGGAUUAAUAAGUCAGUGGUGAAAUCCCGAAGCUCAACUUCGGAACUGCCAUUGAAACUGUUGAUCUUGAAUUUGGUUGAAGUGGGCGGAAUAUGACAUGUAGCGGUGAAAUGCAUAGAUAUGUCAUGGAACACCGAUAGUGAAGACAGCUCACUAAACCAAUAUUGACGCUGAGGUACGAAAGCAUGGGUAGCGAACAGGAUUAGAUA